GAUGAACGCUGGCGGCGUGCCUAAUACAUGCAAGUCGAGCGAACAGAUGAGGAGCUUGCUCCUCUGACGUUAGCGGCGGACGGGUGAGUAACACGUGGAUAACCUACCUAUAAGACUGGGAUAACUUCGGGAAACCGGAGCUAAUACCGGAUAAUAUAUUGAACCGCGUGGUUCAAUAGUGAAAGACGGUUUUGCUGUCACUUAUAGGUGGAUCCGCGCCGCAUUAGCUAGUUGGUAAGGUAACGGCUUACCAAGGCAACGAUGCGUAGCCGACCUGAGAGGGUGAUCGGCCACACUGGAACUGAGACACGGUCCAGACUCCUACGGGAGGCAGCAGUAGGGAAUCUUCCGCAAUGGGCGAAAGCCUGACGGAGCAACGCCGCGUGAGUGAUGAAGGUCUUCGGAUCGUAAAACUCUGUUAUUAGGGAAGAACAAAUGUGUAAGUAACUAUGCACGUCUUGACGGUACCUAAUCAGAAAGCCACGGCUAACUACGUG
This 497-nucleotide ribosomal RNA is filed under the name uncultured bacterium. RNAcentral's name for it is "partial 16S ribosomal RNA". It matches the Rfam family "Bacterial small subunit ribosomal RNA", at positions 28 to 507 of the family's 1533-position model. The record is from RNAcentral.